RNAcentral lists this ribosomal RNA (138 nucleotides) under uncultured bacterium. RNAcentral describes it as "partial 16S ribosomal RNA". It matches the Rfam family "Bacterial small subunit ribosomal RNA", at positions 391 to 525 of the family's 1533-position model. The record is from RNAcentral.
GCCAUGCCGCGUGCAGGAUGACUGCCCUAUGGGUUGUAAACUGCUUUUGUCCAGGAAUAAACCUAAAUACGAGUAUUUAGCUGAAUGUACUGGAAGAAUAAGGAUCGGCUAACUCCGUGCCAGCAGCCGCGGUAAUCA